CUUAUUUAAAGAUAAACUCACAACCGUUGCGAAAACCAAACCCAUUACUACUUGCUUUGGUGUUUUGUUGGACGCCCACCACUUCCCCAAAUGACUUGGCCUAUGGAGCUCCAAAACCUUUUAGGCUAUUCGAGCUCCAAAGGCAAAGGAAAAAAACCCAGAAAACCAACAGAGAAACCCAAACAAAGUGGUGUGAAGCCUAAGGCAGUGAAGAAGAACUCCACGCUCACCAUUCAAUCUGAUCUUUCUUACUCAUCAGACCCUCCGAAGAAGAAAAAAUGAACUUGGCAUCUCCUCCUUGUCACCUUCUCACCCACAAACCCAUCAUUCAUCCUAUUUCUCUCUCUCUCUCUCUUUGCACCUCAACAGGGAACAUGGCCGCGGCUCUUUCUGUACUGAAGGACAUCACAAGGAAAUUUAAGCUCAGUGGUGCUUCAUUGGGCUCAUCUUCCUAUUACAAGUUCUUCACGGGUGACGAAUAAAAGACCGAUGACGCUGUAUCAUACUAUCUUUGGUGUGCCUUUUUUUUUUUUUUUUUGUUCAAGACUUUCAUAUUAUGGUGUGUUUGAUUCUACGUUCUUACAGUGGUACUUCAGUUAUGUGAAAAAGACUUUUGAUAUGAUAUUCAUAAUAAAAUGGUUGUGGCCUGUGGGACCGCAACCUAAUUAGUUAA
This is a long non-coding RNA of Cajanus cajan (pigeon pea), 673 nucleotides long. RefSeq lists it as uncharacterized. NCBI's taxonomy places the organism in Eukaryota, Viridiplantae, Streptophyta, Magnoliopsida, Fabales, Fabaceae. The record is from RefSeq and is a predicted model, not a curated record.